Molecule: small nucleolar RNA, 66 nt
Organism: Arvicanthis niloticus (Nile rat)
Lineage: Eukaryota; Metazoa; Chordata; Mammalia; Rodentia; Muridae
Source: RefSeq, a predicted model, not a curated record
UUGUAAGCUGUUGAUCAAAUGUCUGGCAGGAAAGGCUCAUACAGACAAAUUUUUAGCACUGACAGA